UGGGGAAUUGUUCGCAAUGGGCGCAAGCCUGACGACGCAACGCCGCGUGGAGGAUGAAGGUCUUCGGAUUGUAAACUCCUGUUGAUCGGGACGAACAACCAUCGGGAUAACACCCCGGAGGUCUGACGGUACCGAUUGAGGAAGCACCGGCUAACGCCGUGCCAGCAGCCGCGGUAAUACGGAGGGUGCAAGCGUUGUCCGGAUUUAUUGGGUUUAAAGGGUGCGUAGGCGGCUUGAUAAGUCCGUGGUGAAAGCCAACAGCUCAACUGUUAAACUGCCAUGGAUACUGUUGGGCUUGAGUACAGACGAGGUAGGCGGAAUUGAUGGUGUAGCGGUGAAAUGCAUAGAUACCAUCAAGAACACCGAUUGCGAAGGCAGCUUACUAGGCUGUAACUGACGCUGAGGCACGAAAGCGUGGGGAGCGAA
This 426-nucleotide ribosomal RNA is filed under the name uncultured bacterium. RNAcentral's name for it is "bacterial SSU rRNA". It matches the Rfam family "Bacterial small subunit ribosomal RNA", at positions 355 to 772 of the family's 1533-position model. The record is from RNAcentral.